AUAUAGUGAUGGUAAUAUUUUUCAUCAACAGAGUUCUAGUGAGUGUUGAUACAAUGGGUCUGGGUAA
This is a small nucleolar RNA of Octodon degus (degu), 67 nucleotides long. RefSeq annotates it as small nucleolar RNA SNORD56. The record is from RefSeq and is a predicted model, not a curated record. The transcript has a single exon. NCBI's taxonomy places the organism in Eukaryota, Metazoa, Chordata, Mammalia, Rodentia, Octodontidae.